This 254-nucleotide ribosomal RNA is filed under the name uncultured bacterium. RNAcentral describes it as "partial 16S ribosomal RNA". It matches the Rfam family "Bacterial small subunit ribosomal RNA", at positions 524 to 776 of the family's 1533-position model. The record is from RNAcentral.
UACGGAGGGUGCAAGCGUUAUCCGGAAUCACUGGGUUUAAAGGGUGCGUAGGCGGUGCAGUAAGUCAGUCGUGAAAUCGCUGGGCUCAACCCAUGCAAUUGCGAUUGAUACUGCUGUACUUGAAUGGGGUUAAGGCAGGCGGAAUGUGGCAUGUAGCGGUGAAAUGCAUAGAUAUGCCAUAGAACACCGAUUGCGAAGGCAGCCUGCUGGGCCUUUAUUGACGCUGAGGCACGAAAGCGUGGGGAGCAAACAGG